GAUUGUCCUUUGCUGCAUGUUUAUCAUGUGAACUUCCAGUCUGCCCAUCUGCAAAACCACCAGGGACACAGCUGGGAGAAAUAAAAGCUAAGUCUUACCCAUGUUCUCAUGCUUGAAAGCUCUUGUAGGAUUGCUGGUGCUCAUAAAAAGACCUGAAGCUGUGAAAAUGCUCUUUUAAAAGUUAAUUCCAUUCUGAGCCAUCAUGUCUUUUCAAG
Non-coding RNA from Lonchura striata (white-rumped munia), 215 nucleotides. The record is from RefSeq and is a predicted model, not a curated record. Lineage: Eukaryota; Metazoa; Chordata; Aves; Passeriformes; Estrildidae.